This 253-nucleotide ribosomal RNA is filed under the name uncultured bacterium. RNAcentral's name for it is "partial 16S ribosomal RNA". It matches the Rfam family "Bacterial small subunit ribosomal RNA", at positions 524 to 776 of the family's 1533-position model. The record is from RNAcentral.
UACAGAGGGGGCAAGCGUUGUUCGGAAUUACUGGGCGUAAAGGGCGCGUAGGCGGCCUGUUAAGUCGAACGUGAAAUCCCCGGGCUCAACCCGGGAACUGCGUCCGAUACUGGCAGGCUUGAAUUCGGGAGAGGGAUGCGGAAUUCCAGGUGUAGCGGUGAAAUGCUUAGAUAUGACAUAGAACACCAAUUGCGAAGGCAGCUUACUACACAAUGAUUGACACUGAGGCACGAAAGCGUGGGGAUCAAACAGG